RNAcentral lists this ribosomal RNA (1457 nucleotides) under uncultured marine bacterium. Its description in RNAcentral is "16S ribosomal RNA". It matches the Rfam family "Bacterial small subunit ribosomal RNA". The record is from RNAcentral.
GAUGAACGCUGGCGGCGUGCUUAACACAUGCAAGUCGAACGAACCUUCGGGUUAGUGGCGGACGGGUGAGUAACGCGUGAGAAUCUGCCCUCAGGAGGGGGAUAACAGCUGGAAACGGCUGCUAAUACCCCAUAUGCCGCGAGGUGAAAUGAAUUUCGCCUGAGGAUGAGCUCGCGUCUGAUUAGCUAGUUGGUGUGGGUAAUGGCUCACCAAGGCAUCGAUCAGUAGCUGGUCUGAGAGGAUGAUCAGCCACACUGGGACUGAGACACGGCCCAGACUCCUACGGGAGGCAGCAGUGGGGAAUUUUCCGCAAUGGGCGAAAGCCUGACGGAGCAACGCCGCGUGAGGGAUGAAGGCCUCUGGGCUGUAAACCUCUUUUAUCAAGGAAGAAGAUCUGACGGUACUUGAUGAAUAAGCCACGGCUAAUUCCGUGCCAGCAGCCGCGGUAAUACGGGAGUGGCAAGCGUUAUCCGGAAUUAUUGGGCGUAAAGCGUCCGCAGGCGGCCCUUCAAGUCUGCUGUUAAAAAGUGGAGCUUAACUCCAUCAUGGCAGUGGAAACUGAGGGGCUUGAGUGUGGUAGGGGCAGAGGGAAUUCCCGGUGUAGCGGUGAAAUGCGUAGAUAUCGGGAAGAACACCAGUGGCGAAGGCGCUCUGCUGGGCCAUCACUGACGCUCAUGGACGAAAGCCAGGGGAGCGAAAGGGAUUAGAUACCCCUGUAGUCCUGGCCGUAAACGAUGAACACUAGGUGUCGGGGGAAUCGACCCCCUCGGUGUCGUAGCCAACGCGUUAAGUGUUCCGCCUGGGGAGUACGCACGCAAGUGUGAAACUCAAAGGAAUUGACGGGGGCCCGCACAAGCGGUGGAGUAUGUGGUUUAAUUCGAUGCAACGCGAAGAACCUUACCAGGGUUUGACAUCCUGCGAAUCUCUUGGAAACGAGAGAGUGCCUUCGGGAACGCAGUGACAGGUGGUGCAUGGCUGUCGUCAGCUCGUGUCGUGAGAUGUUGGGUUAAGUCCCGCAACGAGCGCAACCCACGUCUUUAGUUGCCAGCAUUUAGUUGGGCACUCUAGAGAGACCGCCGGUGAUAAACCGGAGGAAGGUGUGGAUGACGUCAAGUCAUCAUGCCCCUUACAUCCUGGGCUACACACGUACUACAAUGCUACGGACAAAGGGCAGCAAGUUCGCGAGGACAAGCAAAUCCCAUAAACCGUGGCUCAGUUCAGAUCGUAGGCUGCAACUCGCCUACGUGAAGGAGGAAUCGCUAGUAAUCGCAGGUCAGCAUACUGCGGUGAAUACGUUCCCGGGCCUUGUACACACCGCCCGUCACACCAUGGAAGUUGGCCACGCCCGAAGCCGUUACUCCAACCCUUGUGGAGGAGGACGUCGAAGGUGGGGCUGAUGACUGGGGUGAAGUCGUAACAAGGUAUCCGUACCGGAAGGUGCGGAUGGAUCACCUCCU